Molecule: ribosomal RNA, 591 nt
Filed under: uncultured bacterium
Lineage: Bacteria
Description: bacterial SSU rRNA
Rfam family: Bacterial small subunit ribosomal RNA
Source: RNAcentral
CCUACGGGAGGCAGCAGUGGGGAAUAUUGCGCAAUGGGGGAAACCCUGACGCAGCAACGCCGCGUGAGUGAGGAAGGACUUCGGUCUGUAAAGCUCUGUUAAUGAGGAAAAAAUGGUAGUUGGUCUAAUAGGCCGAUUAUUUGAUGGUACUCAUAGAGGAAGCACCGGCUAACUUCGUGCCAGCAGCCGCGGUAAUACGAAGGGUGCAAGCGUUGUUCGGAUUUAUUGGGCGUAAAGCGCGCGUAGGCGGACCCGCAAGUCAGAUGUGAAAUCUCGAGGCUCAACCUCGAAACUGCGUCUGAAACUACGGGUCUAGAAUCUCGGAGGGGGAAGGGGAAUUUCGCAUGUAGGGGUAAAAUCCGUAGAUAUGCGAAGGAACACCAGAGGCGAAGGCGCCUUCCUGGACGAGUAUUGACGCUGAGGCGCGAAAGCGUGGGGAUCAAACAGGAUUAGAUACCCUGGUAGUCCACGCUGUAAACGAUGAACACUAGGUAUUGGAGGAUUUGACCCCUUCAGUGCCGUAGCUAACGCGUUAAGUGUUCCGCCUGGGAAGUACGGUCGCAAGAACUAAAACUCAAAUUGAAUUGACGG